Agrilus planipennis (emerald ash borer) is the source of this 873-nucleotide long non-coding RNA. RefSeq lists it as uncharacterized. The transcript has 3 exons. Lineage: Eukaryota; Metazoa; Arthropoda; Insecta; Coleoptera; Buprestidae. The record is from RefSeq and is a predicted model, not a curated record.
AAUUAAUUUAUGUAGGUCUAAAAUAUAAGACACCAGGUACCUACAGUUUACCUUUUUUUUUUCUCUAAUCUUAAACACCCAAAAUUUUGAAAAAGUACAAAAAUUACUGCAAAUAAAUUAACACUUAAUAUUUUAGGAAUUUACUUCCCAUAAAAUUUCUCAAUCAAUUUAAUAUGAAAACUCAAAUGAGAAAGAACUCUUGGAUUGGUUCACAAAUGUUUUAUUGAAGAAACUGUACAAAUAAGUUUUUCUCAUCUGAAGUUUCAUCUUAAAUUAAUCAAUAUGGUUCACCAAGAGCUAACAGCUUAAUUUUUGAACAUUUCCCAAUUAACAUCUUAAUUGAUUUAAUUACUUAGUAAUUUGUUACGUUUCAGGGAAAUAACGAAACAAUAUAUCCUUCAGGUCAAGACUGCAUUAGAAAAACAUUUUUAGAAUCUCCCUAUACAGAUCCUCAGUGGUACGGAAUAUAUAUAGCGUUUUUGUUGGCCAUAUGGGUAGCUGUAUCGAUUUUGCUAUGUCGAAGAACAAGAGCUUUCGUAACGUCACUUAUUCUACUUGUUCUUAUCAUCAUCGGUUGUUUUAUUGCCUUAGCAGUGAAAGCAGUCGACGAAGACUUUAAAUAUUCUGGCCUCGAAAAACUUCUUACAAAUGUUGAUUGGUCACUUUUAGCUACAGCAAAUGUAAGUACAAGUUUUUGGCAAAGCAUGGGAUGAUAAAGUACUUUCUUAAUCGUGUAAUAGUCAUGGGCGUAACUAAAGGAAGACAUAUAGGGCACAUACCCCUUCACACGCUUCGCCGUAAAUGGUUAAUGAAUUUUGAUUUUUUUUUUAAAAUAUACAUUAGAAUUUUUAUUUUCGACAUAAACGAGCUGAC